Molecule: transfer RNA, 71 nt
Filed under: Ameerega bilinguis (Ecuador poison frog)
Lineage: Eukaryota; Metazoa; Chordata; Amphibia; Anura; Dendrobatidae
Description: tRNA-Ile
Rfam family: tRNA
About the family: Transfer RNA (tRNA) molecules are approximately 80 nucleotides in length. Their secondary structure includes four short double-helical elements and three loops (D, anti-codon, and T loops).
Source: RNAcentral
GGAAACGUGCCCGAAAGUUAAGGAUCUCCUUGAUAGGGAGAAUAAUAUGGGUUCAAAUCCCCUCGUUUCCU